RNAcentral lists this long non-coding RNA (2774 nucleotides) under Marmota monax (woodchuck). The record is from RNAcentral. Lineage: Eukaryota; Metazoa; Chordata; Mammalia; Rodentia; Sciuridae.
CGCGGAGGAGGCGCGCUGCGGACUCGGGGGCCAGACCAGACCCGACCCGACCCGAUGCGCGCCUGGAAGCGGGAGUUUGGGGUCCCACGGAGGACAGUAACUCGUGCAGGGCGUGGAACAAAGUUCUAGUCGAAACUCCAGCCGUGGUGGCUGCCCUCCCGCAGGUUUCUCUUCGCCGUCGCCUUCCAGACAAAGCCGCGCUUUGCGCCCCUGGGACCGCCCGGGGCGCCCGAGGAACCCAGCCCUGAGGAUGGAGCCUGAGGCUGCUAGAGAGCUGAGAUUCCUUUCCAGGACCCGAGGGUGAAAGCACCCCAAACCAAGUAUCAAGAAAGGCAUCGCCUUCCCACCGCACUAGGGUUCUCCUGUGUUCCUCAUACAGGUUUCUCUCCAAUAAAACGAACUCUGAAGCUAUUUCUAGCCUUCAGCCACAACUAUGGACCCUUCAAAGGUUUCAUGAAGGUCUCGCUGGACUGGCAGCCUUUUGAAAAAAAGUUUCUCUCAGAGCCCAAAGAUAGCCAAAAGUUAACCAGCCCGAGCCAUAGUGAGCAAACCGCCAGGAAAGGCCAACUGAGUCUAAGAACACAGACCCUGCCUUAACAUUUGCAAGGCCAGGGAUCAUUACCCUAUAUUUGAAAUUUACAAGGAAUCUAUCAAGUUAACAAGUAAAAUGAAUUUUAUUCUACCUUGAGAAAUAUACCUGCAAAAUAACCCGAAAGGCAGGUUUGAAUGCAGAACUCACAGAUACCUGGGAGUUCUUCCAUCCAGAAUGACAGUCUGGAGAGGGUCAGACCUGAAUCUUGGCCUGUACAUCUCCACUCCUUUUGCUUCCUGUGCCCAGCUCUGUUCAACAAGAGGGUUUUGCUACAGGUGUGAACACUCCAGCCCACUCCACCAAGCUCUCUCCACCCCUUCCAAGGGCCACCCUUUAGCUGCUCCUUGGGCCCAAGAGUGCAGGUACCAGUUACUUGGUCUGGUAUUGAAAAGAGGAUUCUGAAAAGAGGCCAGCCCAAGGUCUGGAAUUUCGCGCGGAAAUUUUCAUCUGAAAAUACCAGAGUCUGAGUCCCAGGGACAUAGUCCAGAGUAGAAAGGCUCUCUAGAUUUUUCACCCCAUGGAGAGGAGUUAGAUUGCUGCCUUCUGAAAUGCAAGGCCAGGGCAGGCUUUUCUUGCCUGGGUCUACAGCAAUACUUAGCCCCUACGAAGUUUAUUUCAGAGAUCAAUUCCCAGGAAUCUAUUUAACAUUCUCAAUAGUAAAUGAUCCCGGAUUGCCAUACACUUAAAUAAAUUUGAAGAGCAGAUCAUUUGACCAACACUUUUUGUGAUUUAACUAUAUAAACCCAAAAGAGUCCAGCACUGUCUAAUAAUGCGUUCUAUGAUGAUAGACUUGUUCUAGAUCUGGUGCUGGGAAUGUAGCUCAGUGGUAGAGCUCCAAGCAUGGAGGCCAUGGAUUCUAUUCCCUACAUUGCAAAAAGAAAAGAAAAGAAAAAAAUUUCUAUGGGCUUGUUGUCCAAGAGGGUGGUCAUUUGUGGCUGUGUAGCCCUUGAAAUGUAAGAAGUGUGUUUUUCAUACUAUUUCAUAUUAAUUAAUGUAAAUUUGAGUUUAAGUGUCUGGUGGCUGCCCUGUUGGUGAUGCACCAGGUCUGGACACUACAAUAAAUAGUGGGAGAUUAUCACCAUUAUUAAGUAGCUUUUAAACAUAUAUAUAGUCCUAGAGGGCAAAAUGGUAACCUGUAUUAAGAUGGGUAAAAAUUCACAUUUCUCUUGAAUUUAUUAGAAGAAUUAUUAUUCCCUAACAUAAUUAUUGAUGAUCAUCAUCACCUGUUUUUUUAUAAAGUAAAAACUUACAUAGAAAUAGGGAAUUUUUUAAUCACCAUAUAGCUAUAGAUUGGCAUGUGAACUUCAAGCAUGAAUACUUUAAAGCCAAUACUUGAAGUAAUAAUGUACUUGUCUUAAUUUUGAAAUGUGUUUACCACAACUAACAUCAAUUUAAUACAUGUCUUCUUUUUGCUUCCCUAAAGUCAAGAAAGUUAUAUAAAGUACAGAAUUAUGAGAAAAAUAGAUUUCACAAGUUAAUCCAAGGAGAAAUAUGAAAGAAAUGUUUUUAUUUUACGGAUAGUAUCAGUUGUUCUUGCACAAAGAUCAAAACGUCUUUGAAAAUAAAGAUCAUUAGAGAUCACAAAUAGGAUAUUAAAGCUGAACAGGGCCUUCAAAGUAACAAUAUUAUAGUCCUUGGAAGGCACAGUUAUUAUUUUGUAUCAUCACGGAUUCAUGAGGAUAUGACAAGCAGUCCUUUCCACUUCUAAAGAUCUCAGAGGAUGACACUAUCUGAAACUUCCUAUCUCCUACCCUUCAGUCACACAGAACCUAAGCUUGCAUUAAGCUACCCCAUCCCUGACAGCUUUUUGCCAGACAGGUCUGUCUACUGCUGAUCCCCCUCAGGCCUUAAGAACAUCACACUAGUUGAAGUUAUAGGACUUCAUAGGUCCAUUCAAAGUCCCUACUAUGUUUGUGGUUGUGCCACUUUAGAAAGUCCUAUAGAAACUAAGGAACUGCUUGUUAACCAUACUUAUGUGCACUUAGCGCCGGAAAACACUAUUGCAUCAACUGUUGCUUUAAGGAUGGUAGAUAGACCACAUUCCAGAGCUGCUAUGCUGCGAAUCCUGUCUUGCCAUGUUAUGUGCAGCUUGUAGGUGAUCCCAGAGAAACACUCAGAGAUAUUUGCUCUUCUCAAUAGAUAAACUGUAUUAACUGUGUGUAUAGAUGUAUGUGUGUAAAUA